AUGAACGCUGGCGGCGUGCCUAAUACAUGCAAGUCGAGCGAACGGACGAGAAGCUUGCUUCUCUGAUGUUAGCGGCGGGCGGGUGAGUAACACGUGGAUAACCUACCUAUAAGACUGGGAUAACUUCGGGAAACCGGAGCUAAUACCGGAUAAUAUUUUGAACCGCAUGGUUCAAAAGUAAAAGACGGUCUUGCUGUCACUUAUAGAUGGAUCCGCGCUGCAUUAGCUAGUUGGUAAGGUAACGGCUUACCAAGGCAACGAUGCAUAGCCGACCUGAGAGGGUGAUCGGCCACACUGGAACUGAGACACGGUCCAGACUCCUACGGGAGGCAGCAGUAGGGAAUCUUCCGCAAUGGGCGAAAGCCUGACGGAGCAACGCCGCGUGAGUGAUGAAGGUCUUCGGAUCGUAAAACUCUGUUAUUAGGGAAGAACAUAUGUGUAAGUAACUGUGCACAUCUUGACGGUACCUAAUCAGAAAGCCACGGCUAACUACGUG
Molecule: ribosomal RNA, 496 nt
Filed under: uncultured bacterium
Lineage: Bacteria
Description: partial 16S ribosomal RNA
Rfam family: Bacterial small subunit ribosomal RNA
Source: RNAcentral